Molecule: ribosomal RNA, 407 nt
Filed under: uncultured bacterium
Lineage: Bacteria
Description: partial 16S ribosomal RNA
Rfam family: Bacterial small subunit ribosomal RNA
Source: RNAcentral
AUUGAACGCUAGCGGGAUGCCUUACACAUGCAAGUCGAACGGAGUGGCGAACGGGUGAGUAAUGUAUCGGAACGUGCCCAGUAGCGGGGGAUAACUAUGCGAAAGCGUAGCUAAUACCGCAUACUCUUGGAGCGGCCGAAAUCGGAUUAGCUCGUUGGGUGGGUAACGGCCCACCAAGGCGACGAUCCGUACAUGGUUUGAUAGGACGACCAGCCAAACUGGGACUGAGACACGGCCCAGACGCCUCAGGGAGUCAGCAGUGGGGAAUUUUGGACAAUGGGGGAAACCCUGAUCCAGCCAUCCCGCGUGUGCGAUGAAGGCCUUCGGGUUGUAAAGCACUUUUGGCAGGAAAGCGGGACCUGCAGAAUAAGCACCGGCUAACUACGUGCCAGCAGCCGCGGUAAUAC